GACGAACGCUGGCGGCGUGCUUAACACAUGCAAGUCGAACGGAAAGGCCCUGCUUUUGUGGGGUGCUCGAGUGGCGAACGGGUGAGUAACACGUGAGUAACCUGCCCUUGACUUUGGGAUAACUUCAGGAAACUGGGGCUAAUACCGGAUAGGAGCUCCUGCUGCAUGGUGGGGGUUGGAAAGUUUCGGCGGUUGGGGAUGGACUCGCGGCUUACCAGCUUGUUGGUGGGGUAGUGGCUUACCAAGGCUUUGACGGGUAGCCGGCCUGAGAGGGUGACCGGCCACAUUGGGACUGUGAUACGGCCCAGACUCCUACGGGAGGCAGCAGUGGGGAAUAUUGCACAAUGGGCGGAAGCCUGAUGCAGCAACGCCGCGUGCGGGAUGACGGCCUUCGGGUUGUAAACCGCUUUCGCCUGUGACGAAGCGUGAGUGACGGUAAUGGGUAAAGAAGCACCGGCUAACUACGUG
RNAcentral lists this ribosomal RNA (468 nucleotides) under uncultured bacterium. Its description in RNAcentral is "partial 16S ribosomal RNA". It matches the Rfam family "Bacterial small subunit ribosomal RNA", at positions 28 to 507 of the family's 1533-position model. The record is from RNAcentral.